CAGUAGCCACGGUAAUACGUAGGUGGCAAGCGUUGUCCGGAAUUAUUGGGCGUAAAGGGUGCGUAGGCGGUUUGACAAGUCUUAUGUGAAAUCUCUGGGCUCAACCCAGAGUCUGCAUGGGAAACUGUCGGGCUUGAGUAUGGGAGAGGUGAGUGGAAUUUCCGGUGUAGCGGUGAAAUGCGUAGAUAUCGGAAGGAACACCUGUGGCGAAAGCGGCUCACUGGACCAUAACUGACGCUGAGGCACGAAAGCUAGGGGAGCAAACAGGAUUAGAUACCCCGGUAGUCCCUGUCUCUUAUAC
This 301-nucleotide ribosomal RNA is filed under the name uncultured bacterium. RNAcentral describes it as "partial 16S ribosomal RNA". It matches the Rfam family "Bacterial small subunit ribosomal RNA", at positions 509 to 807 of the family's 1533-position model. The record is from RNAcentral.